Molecule: ribosomal RNA, 245 nt
Filed under: uncultured Desulfobulbus sp.
Lineage: Bacteria; Pseudomonadati; Thermodesulfobacteriota; Desulfobulbia; Desulfobulbales; Desulfobulbaceae
Description: partial 16S ribosomal RNA
Rfam family: Bacterial small subunit ribosomal RNA
Source: RNAcentral
UACGGAGGGUGCAAGCGUUGUUCGGAAUUACUGGGCGUAAAGGGCGCGUAGGCGGUUUGAUAAGUCAGAUGUGAAAGCCCACGGCUUAACUGUGGAAGUGCAUUUGAAACUGUCAGACUUGAGUAUCAGAGGGGAAAGUGGAAUUCCCGGUGUAGAGGUGAAAUUCGUAGAUAUCGGGAGGAAUACCGGUGGCGAAGGCGACUUUCUGGCUGAAUACUGACGCUGAGGCGCGAAAGCGUGGGGAG